Molecule: ribosomal RNA, 468 nt
Filed under: uncultured bacterium
Lineage: Bacteria
Description: partial 16S ribosomal RNA
Rfam family: Bacterial small subunit ribosomal RNA
Source: RNAcentral
GACGAACGCUGGCGGCGUGCUUAACACAUGCAAGUCGAACGGAAAGGCCCUGCUUUUGUGGGGUGCUCGAGUGGCGAACGGGUGAGUAAAACGUGAGUAAACUGCCCUUGAAUUUGGGAUAACUUCAGGAAACUGGGGCUAAUACCGGAUAGGAGCUCCUGCAGCAUGGUGGGGGUUGGAAAGUUUCGGCGGUUGGGGAUGGACUCGCGGCUUAUCAGCUUGUUGGUGGGGUAGUGGCUUACAAAGGCUUUGACGGGUAGCCGGCCUGGGAGGGGGACCGGCCACAAUGGGACUGAGAUACGGCCCAGACUCCAACGGGAGGCAGCAGUGGGGAAUAUUGCGCAAUGGGCGGAAGCCUGAUGCAGCAACGCCGCGUGCGGGAUGACGGCCUUCGGGUUGUAAACCGCUUUCGCCUGUGACGAAGCGUGAGUGACGGUAAUGGGUAAAGAAGCACCGGCUAACUACGUG